Molecule: ribosomal RNA, 448 nt
Filed under: uncultured organism
Description: partial 16S ribosomal RNA
Rfam family: Bacterial small subunit ribosomal RNA
Source: RNAcentral
ACAUCCUGCGGGAGGCAGCAGUGGGGAAUAUUGGACAAUGGGCGCAAGCCUGAUCCAGCCAUGCCGCGUGAGUGAUGAAGGCCCUAGGGUUGUAAAGCUCUUUCACCGGUGAAGAUAAUGACGGUAACCGGAGAAGAAGCCCCGGCUAACUUCGUGCCAGCAGCCGCGGUAAUACGAAGGGGGCUAGCGUUGUUCGGAUUUACUGGGCGUAAAGCGCACGUAGGCGGACUAUUAAGUCAGGGGUGAAAUCCCGGGGCUCAACCCCGGAACUGCCUUUGAUACUGGUAGUCUUGAGUUCGAGAGAGGUGAGUGGAAUUCCGAGUGUAGAGGUGAAAUUCGUAGAUAUUCGGAGGAACACCAGUGGCGAAGGCGGCUCACUGGCUCGAUACUGACGCUGAGGUGCGAAAGCGUGGGGAGCAAACAGGAUUAGAUACCCCGGUAGUCCCAU